ACGGGUGAGUAACACGUAAGGAACCUGCCUCAAGGAUUGGGAUAACUCCGAGAAAUCGGAGCUAAUACCGGAUAGUUCAUCGGACCGCAUGGUCCGUUGAUGAAAGGCGCUCCGGCGUCACCUUGAGAUGGCCUUGCGGUGCAUUAGCUAGUUGGUGGGGUAACGGCCCACCAAGGCGACGAUGCAUAGCCGACCUGAGAGGGUGAUCGGCCACACUGGGACUGAGACACGGCCCAGACUCCUACGGGAGGCAGCAGUAGGGAAUCUUCCACAAUGGACGAAAGUCUGAUGGAGCAACGCCGCGUGAGUGAUGAAGGUUUUCGGAUCGUAAAACUCUGUUGUAAGGGAAGAACACGUACGAGAGGUAAUGCUCGUACCUUGACGGUACCUUACGAGAAAGCCACGGCUAACUACGUGCCAGCAGCCGCGGUAAUACGUAGGUGGCAAGCGUUGUCCGGAAUUAUUGGGCGUAAAGCGCGCGCAGGCGGCCUUUUAAGUCUGAUGUGAAAGCCCCCGGCUCAACCGGGGAGGGCCAUUGGAAACUGGAAGGCUUGAGUACAGAAGAGAAGA
RNAcentral lists this ribosomal RNA (570 nucleotides) under uncultured bacterium. RNAcentral describes it as "bacterial SSU rRNA". It matches the Rfam family "Bacterial small subunit ribosomal RNA", at positions 102 to 660 of the family's 1533-position model. The record is from RNAcentral.